Molecule: RNA transcript, 1801 nt
Organism: Prionailurus viverrinus (fishing cat)
Lineage: Eukaryota; Metazoa; Chordata; Mammalia; Carnivora; Felidae
Gene: UTP18
Gene name: UTP18 small subunit processome component
Exons: 14
Source: RefSeq, a predicted model, not a curated record
AUGCCGCCGGAACGUAGAAGCCGAACGAGACCGGACCGGAGAACCGGAGUGAGGCUGGGCCGGAAGAGCCGAAUGAAGCCGGACCGGAGAGCCGGAGCAGGGCCGGGCGGGCCGCCCCGAAAGGCUGCUCCUUCAUCCCAGCGGAAACCGCCGGCCCGGCCGAGCACAGCGGCCGCUGCGAUCGCAGUCGCGGCGGAGGAAGAGAGACGGCUCCGGCAGCAGAACCGCCUGACGCUGGAGGAGGACAAGCCGGCCGUGGAGCGGUGCCUGGAGGAGCUGGUGUUCGGCGACGUCGAGGACGACGAGGACGCGCUGCUACGGCGUCUGCAGGGCCCGCGGGUUCAAGUACAGGAAGACUCCUGUGACUCGGAAGUGGAGAAUGAAGCAAAAGAUAAUUUUCUAUUUCAAAAGAAGCCAGUUUGGGUGGAUGAAGAGGAUGAAGAUGAUGAAAUGGUUGACAUGAAGAACAAUCGGUUUCGGAAAGAUAUGAUGAAAAAUGCCAGUGAAAGUAAACUUUCAAAAGACAAACUUCAAAAGAGACUUAAGGAAGAAUUCCAGCAUGCCAUGGGAGGAGUACCUGCCUGGGCAGAGACUAAGAAGCGGAAAACAUCUUCAGAUGAUGAAAGUGAAGAGGAUGAAGAUGAUUUGUUGCAAAGGACUGGGAAUUUCAUAUCCACAUCAACCUCUCUUCCUAAAGGAAUCUUAAAGAUUAAGAAUUGUCAACAUGCUAACGCAGAACGUCCUACUACAGCCAGGAUUUCGUCUGUGCAAUUCCAUCCUCGUGCGCAGGUUGUGAUGGUUGCUGCUCUAGAUAAUGCCAUAUCGCUGUUUCAGGUUGAUGGAAAAACAAAUCCUAAAAUCCAGAGCAUCUAUUUGGAAAAGUUUCCAAUCUAUAAGGCUUGUUUUAGUGCUAAUGGAGAAGAGGUUUUAGCCACGAGUAUCCACAGCAAGGUUCUUUAUGUUUAUGAUAUGCUGGCUGGAAAGUUAAUUCCUGUGCAUCAAGUGAGAGGCUUGAAAGAGAAGAUAGUGAGGAGCUUUGAAGUCUCUCCAGAUGGGUCCUUCUUGCUGAUAAAUGGUGUUGCUGGAUAUCUUCAUUUGCUGUCAAUGAAGACUAAAGAACUGAUUGGCAGCAUGAAAAUUAAUGGAAGGGUUGCAGCAUCCACAUUCUCUUCAGAUAGUAAGAGAAUGUAUGCCUCUUCAGGCGAUGGGGAAGUUUAUGUUUGGGAUGUGAACUCUAGAAAGUGCCUUAACAGAUUCGUUGAUGAAGGCAGUUUAUAUGGAUUAAGCAUUGCCACAUCUAGGAAUGGACAGUAUGUGGCUUGUGGUUCUAAUUGUGGAGUGGUAAACAUAUACAAUCAAGAUUCUUGUCUCCAAGAAAUAAACCCAAAGCCGAUAAAAGCUAUAAUGAACUUGGUUACAGGCGUUACUUCUCUGACCUUCAAUCCUACUACAGAAAUCUUGGCAGUUGCUUCAGAAGAAAUGAAAGAAGCAGUCAGAUUGAACACUGCUCCAUUACGAGAGUUGUACAUCAUGUGUACUACAAUCAAAAUGAACUUUUUGUUCCAGCAAACAGGUGCACCUUCCUUCCUGUACGGUAUUUUCAAACUUCCCCGUCAUUAAAAAGAAGACAGUCUCUCUUGUUCAUACCAUGGAUUUUUCUCCCAGAAGUGGGUACUUUGCCUUGGGGAACGAAAAAGGCAAAGCCCUGAUAUAUAGAUCCAGUUGAGCCGGAAGAGAAGCCGUCUUGAUCUUCCCAGAAACUUUCUGAAUGUGUGAUAAUAUAUGGCUAAUGAUUUACUGA